Molecule: ribosomal RNA, 484 nt
Filed under: uncultured bacterium
Lineage: Bacteria
Description: partial 16S ribosomal RNA
Rfam family: Bacterial small subunit ribosomal RNA
Source: RNAcentral
AUUGAACGCUGGCGGCAGGCCUAACACAUGCAAGUCGAGCGGAUGAAGGAAGCUUGCGCCUGGAUUCCGCUGCGGGCGGGUGGGUAAUGCCUAGGAAUCUGCCUUGUCUUUGGGGAUAACGUCCGUAAAGGGGCGCUAAUACCACAUCCGUCCUGAGGUUGAAAGUGGGGGAUCAUCGGAGCUCGCGCUAUUUGCUGAGCCUAGGUCGUAUUAGCUAGUUGGUUGGGUAAAGGCUUACCAAGGCGACGAUCCGUAACUGCGCUGAGAGGCUGAUCGGCCACACUGGAACUGAGACACGGUCCAGACUCCUACGGGAGGCAGCAGUAGGGAAUAUUGCGCAAUGGGCGAAAGCCUGAUGGAGCAAUGCCGCGUGAGUGAUGAAGGUCUUCGGAUCGUAAAACUCUGUAAGUAGGGAAGAACAAAUGUGAAAGUAACUCUGCACGUCUUGACGGUACCUAAUGAGAAAGCAACGGCUAACUACGUG